This 271-nucleotide ribosomal RNA is filed under the name uncultured bacterium. RNAcentral describes it as "partial 16S ribosomal RNA". It matches the Rfam family "Bacterial small subunit ribosomal RNA", at positions 524 to 794 of the family's 1533-position model. The record is from RNAcentral.
UACGUAGGGUGCGAGCGUUGUCCGGAAUUACUGGGCGUAAAGGGCUCGUAGGCGGUUUGUCGCGUCGUCUGUGAAAACCAGCAGCUCAACUGUUGGCUUGCAGGCGAUACGGGCAGACUUGAGUACUGCAGGGGAGACUGGAAUUCCUGGUGUAGCGGUGAAAUGCGCAGAUAUCAGGAGGAACACCGGUGGCGAAGGCGGGUCUCUGGGCAGUAACUGACGCUGAUGAGCGAAAGCGUGGGUAGCGAACAGGAUUAGAUACCCGGGUAGU